UGUGAUAAAAUCUUCUACUUUAUUAUGGU
Molecule: small RNA, 29 nt
Filed under: Bombyx mori (domestic silkworm)
Lineage: Eukaryota; Metazoa; Arthropoda; Insecta; Lepidoptera; Bombycidae
Description: ovarian small RNA-35886
Source: RNAcentral